RNAcentral lists this ribosomal RNA (114 nucleotides) under Cordylochernes scorpioides. The record is from RNAcentral. Lineage: Eukaryota; Metazoa; Arthropoda; Arachnida; Pseudoscorpiones; Chernetidae.
GUGUCCCGACGGGGGUAGUUUUUUUUUCUUUGUUCGAUCACUGAAGUUAAGCAAUGUCGGGCCUGGUCAGUACUUGGAAGGGUGACCACCUGGGAACACCGGGUGCUGUAGGCU